CUACGGAGGAUGCGAGCGUUAUCCGGAUUUAUUGGGUUUAAAGGGAGCGUAGGUGGGAUAUUAAGUCAGCUGUGAAAGUUUGGGGCUCAACCUUAAAAUUGCAGUUGAUACUGGUUUCCUUGAGUACGGUACAGGUGGGCGGAAUUCGUGGUGUAGCGGUGAAAUGCUUAGAUAUCACGAAGAACUCCGAUCGCGAAGGCAGCUCACCGGGCCGGAACUGACACUGAUGCUCGAAAGUGCGGGUAUCAAACAGGAUUAGAUACCCUGGUAGUCCGCACAGUAAACGAUGAAUACUCGCUGUUUGCGAUACACGGUAAGCGGCCAGGCGAAAGCGUUAAGUAUUCCACCUGGGGAGUACGCCGGCAACGGUGAAACUCAAAGGAAUUGACGGGG
Molecule: ribosomal RNA, 393 nt
Filed under: uncultured bacterium
Lineage: Bacteria
Description: partial 16S ribosomal RNA
Rfam family: Bacterial small subunit ribosomal RNA
Source: RNAcentral